This 559-nucleotide ribosomal RNA is filed under the name uncultured Glomus. RNAcentral's name for it is "SSU rRNA". It matches the Rfam family "Eukaryotic small subunit ribosomal RNA", at positions 546 to 1106 of the family's 1831-position model. Lineage: Eukaryota; Fungi; Glomeromycota; Glomeromycetes; Glomerales; Glomeraceae. The record is from RNAcentral.
AAUUGGAGGGCAAGUCUGGUGCCAGCAGCCGCGGUAAUUCCAGCUCCAAUAGCGUAUAUUAAAGUUGUUGCAGUUAAAAAGCUCGUAGUUGAAUUUCGGGGUCAGUAGAUUGGUCGUGCCACUGGUAUGUACUGGUCUUACUGGCUCCUCCUUCCUGAUGAACCGUAAUGCCAUUAAUUUGGUGUUGCGGGGAGACUGGACUGUUACUUUGAAAAAAUUAGAGUGUUUAAAGCAGGCUAACGCUUGAAUACAUUAGCAUGGAAUAAUGAAGUAGGACGUUCGAUCUUAUUUUGUUGGUUUCUAAGAUUGACGUAAUGAUUAAUAGGGAUAGUUGGGGGCAUUAGUAUUCAAUUGUCAGAGGUGAAAUUCUUGGAUUUAUUGAAGACUAACUACUGCGAAAGCAUUUGCCAAGGAUGUUUUCAUUAAUCAAGAACGAAAGUUAGGGGAUCGAAGACGAUCAGAUACCGUCGUAGUCUUAACCAUAAACUAUGCCGACUAGGGAUCGGAUGAUGUUAAUUUUUUAAUGACUCAUUCGGCGCCUUACGGGAAACCAAAGUGU